GUCUACAUCUGUGCUACCCUGAAUGUACCCAAUCUCAUCUGAUAUCAGAAGCUAAGCAGGGUGGGGCCUGGUUAGUACUUGAAUGAGAGAUAAUUCUUUGAUUUAACAUAAUAUUUUAUGAAACUUACUAAGUAGAUA
RNAcentral lists this ribosomal RNA (138 nucleotides) under Chinchilla lanigera (long-tailed chinchilla). The record is from RNAcentral. Lineage: Eukaryota; Metazoa; Chordata; Mammalia; Rodentia; Chinchillidae.